AUUGAGCCGUGGUGUGAUGAGGCCACCCAGGGAGUCAGCAGCAGAGACAGUCUGCUAUCAGACCCUCCUCUCCUGCCUUAUCAGCUCUGCCUUAUCUGUGUGCAUAAGUAAGAUUUGUGGAAAUAACUCCUGAGUGACUGUGAAGAGUGGGAAGGAGCCAGGGAAAUGGGAAGAGUAGUGUCUGCUCCCAAUACCAAAACUAGGCUGCCUGAAAACUCUCAGUACACUGAAAGAUGACAGCUUUGCUCCAGUGCCAUGUUUUCAAGCAGAGCAGAUUUUUUGCCAGUUCUUGUUAGACUUUAAGUAUUGGUUUUCCAGCCACCGCCAACUCUGUCUGGGCACAGGUCCAUGUUUACUCAAGCUCCACAGCCAGAAAUAUGGUGAGCUCUGGUUCAUGCUAGUGUGUGGUUGUGCUGAAUGCAUCAAAAUGCGUCAUCGAGAGUCACCAGCUACAUAAAGUAUGAGCUGUGGCAGGGAAAUCAGAGAAUAUAUAACACAACAUAGAGGAGAGUAACAGCUCUGGAAGCCAGAAACCCAUUUAAAACACUCUGAAUUUUAAAAACACUUUAAAGUAAAUGCUUUAUUUUCUUUUUUUAUUUUCUUUUUUUCUCUUUUUUUUAAUGCCAUGUUUUGAUUUCUGAGCUGGAUCAGAAGCACAGUUUAUUUUACAAGAGCCAAUGGUACCAAUUAAAGCCUGAGACUUUCAAAGCAGCACACAGGACUCGACUACACAUCUUCCAUUAAUUAUCUCUUGGCCAAGUUAACUCUGCACAAGUAAUAUGUCACAAGCUCAUUUUCUGUCAUUAAAUUCAGCAGAUAUGACCUUGAUCCUUUCUGGGAGCACACCUUCUCAGUAAUAAAAUGCUGUUUUAUUGCAGACACUUUUUGAAGAAUGCCAUUUUAAUGUCAGGUUAUGCUGAAGAAGAGACCAGCUCCUGCUUUUUCAGACUUUCUGAAGCAGGAAAGAACUAACAGCCUGCACUAGACCGCUUAUCAGUGCAGAGCCUGGACUAAAUGUGUCUUUGUUGACCUUCUCCUUCUCUUGGUACAGAAAAGAAAUUACCUUAGUUUCAAAAAAGCUGACAUGUGGGUACAGCUGCAGCUAUUUUGAGAGUAGGAAAAAGUUGACUUGGAAGACUUGCUCCUCUUGCUGUACAGGCACUGACCCAAGCAGAGCCAGAUGCAGACAGAGCUCAGCUGAAGCCAGGGCAGUGGUGUGUAAGUGUGGAGUUUUUUCCUCUCCUGGACUCACAGUAAGAUCAGAGGUGGAAUUGUGUGCCCGUGGUUGCAACCUAAUUUCAACUGCUUGGUUAGAUGCACUGAACUAUUGUGUAUAUAUGUGGCACAGGGGCUCUGAAGCACUCCUGUGAACUGCUGUCACAGUGUGGAGGAUCUCUACCCCCACCUUCAUCCACAGGCACAGAAAAACAAUCAGUCUCUUGGACUGACAAAGUUGCAGAGGCUAA
This 1466-nucleotide long non-coding RNA is filed under the name Taeniopygia guttata (zebra finch). RNAcentral's name for it is "lncRNA (ENSTGUG00000026025.1)". Lineage: Eukaryota; Metazoa; Chordata; Aves; Passeriformes; Estrildidae. The record is from RNAcentral.